RNAcentral lists this ribosomal RNA (650 nucleotides) under uncultured marine bacterium. RNAcentral's name for it is "bacterial SSU rRNA". It matches the Rfam family "Bacterial small subunit ribosomal RNA", at positions 84 to 767 of the family's 1533-position model. The record is from RNAcentral.
UGGCGAGUACAGUGGCGCACGGGUGAGUAACGCGUAGAUGAUCUACCCUUCAGUCUGGGACAACUCUUGGAAACGGGAGCUAAUACCGGAUAAAACCUUCGGGUUGAAAGAUUUAUCGCUGAGAGAUGAGUCUGCGUACCAUUAGCUUGUUGGUGGGGUAACGGCCUACCAAGGCGACGAUGGUUAGCGGGUCUGAGAGGACGAUCCGCCACACUGGAACUGAGACACGGUCCAGACUCCUACGGGAGGCAGCAGUAGGGAAUAUUGCGCAAUGGGGGCAACCCUGACGCAGCAAUGCCGCGUGAGUGAAGAAGGCCUUCGGGUCGUAAAGCUCUUUUAUGGGGGAAGAUGAUGACGGUACCCCAUGAAUAAGCACCGGCUAACUACGUGCCAGCAGCCGCGGUAAUACGUAGGGUGCGAGCGUUGUUCGGAAUUACUGGGCGUAAAGGGCGUGCAGGCGGAUUGGCAAGCCGGAGGUGAAAGCCCGGGGCUCAACCCCGGAGGGUCUUUCGGAACUGCCAGUCUUGAGAGGGUCAGGGGCCAGCGGAAUUCCUGGUGUAGAGGUGAAAUUCGUAGAGAUCAGGAGGAACACCGGCGGCGAAAGCGGCUGGCUGGGGCCACUCUGACGCUGAGGCGCGAAAGCGUGGGGA